This 482-nucleotide ribosomal RNA is filed under the name uncultured bacterium. RNAcentral describes it as "partial 16S ribosomal RNA". It matches the Rfam family "Bacterial small subunit ribosomal RNA", at positions 28 to 507 of the family's 1533-position model. The record is from RNAcentral.
GAUGAACGCUAGCGGCAGGCCUAAUACAUGCGAGUCGAACGAGAUUAAGAGGCUUGCUUCUUAUGAAAGUGGCGCACGGGUGCGUAACGCGUAUGCAACCUACCUUAAUCAGGGGGAUAGCCCGAAGAAAUUCGGAUUAAGACCGCAUAAAAACACAGGAUAGCAUUAUCCAAUGUUCAAAUAUUUAUAGGAUUAAGAUGGGCAUGCGUGUCAUUAGCUAGUUGGCGGGGUAACGGCCCACCAAGGCGACGAUGACUAGGGGAUCUGAGAGGAUGACCCCCCACACUGGUACUGAGACACGGACCAGACUCCUACGGGAGGCAGCAGUAAGGAAUAUUGGUCAAUGGAGGGAACUCUGAACCAGCCAUGCCGCGUGCAGGAAGACAGCCCUCUGGGUCGUAAACUGCUUUUAUUCGGGAAUAAACCUUUCUACGUGUAGGAAGCUGAAUGUACCGAAGGAAUAAGGAUCGGCUAACUCCGUG